This 234-nucleotide long non-coding RNA is filed under the name Medicago truncatula (barrel medic). RNAcentral describes it as "long non-coding RNA (MTRU_LNC005245)". Lineage: Eukaryota; Viridiplantae; Streptophyta; Magnoliopsida; Fabales; Fabaceae. The record is from RNAcentral.
CAAGAAACCAAGAACAAUAUAGAACACCCGACCAAACAACCCUAAGACUCCACAUGUUACCUCAAGAUACAACCUAAAGCAUUUGAGAACCACUUGUAAAACAUCCACUUGGGUUGAUCUAAUGGUGUUAAUUUAAGACUUUUGAGUAUGCUCCUCUCAAGGUCUUGUGUUCGAUUCUCCCUGGUGUCAAUUUUGAUGGAUUAAGUCCAUAUAAAGUCGUGCUCUAGCUUCAAA